Molecule: long non-coding RNA, 1394 nt
Organism: Gallus gallus (chicken)
Lineage: Eukaryota; Metazoa; Chordata; Aves; Galliformes; Phasianidae
Source: Ensembl
CUUAUUUUAACUUUUUUGGUAUAACUUAAGUUGCUACUGCAGUUACAAGAGGUCAGUUUAUAAGAAGAGAUCUAAAAUGUUAGAAUUCACUAGAAUUCUACACAUCUUGUUUCUUUCCCACCCUGCUCUUGCACUAAAUCUCAAUUUUUAUUGUGAUCCCUCUGUAUGAUAGCACUUUUGAAGAUUUAGUCGGUAGUACACAAUAUGAUGGAAAGGAAGUAUAGCAAACAAUUGUUGGAUGUUAAUAGUUGGGGACUCUUAAGAUCCUUAUUAGUUAUCUUACCUGCAGUGAGAUCCACUCUGAAGCAGAAAUGCCCUUGUGAGCAAUUAAACCAGAGUCUGAAAGGCAUUUUCUUUCUUCCUUUUAGUAGUUUGAUACUGAAACUUCCAAACUCCCUUAGUUUUAGAAAUCUGGUUUUCAAACUAAAUGCAUCAGUGGCACCUUACUACUUAUUUGUCCUUGUUUUAGUUUAAUUUCUCAGCCUCAGAGUGAUGCCAAGAACUUUCAGCUUUUGUUUAUUAAGCUAAGCAAGCUUACAUUGAAGUCUCUUAUAGGUUCUUCAUUCCUGCUGGCUCUUCUCUUCACCUUUUAUAGGUUGAAUGGAAUAACAGGUUUACUACCACAUGAACAAAUGGAAAUACUGCUUUCCAGGCAUUAAAGUUAAUAAACACUGGUAAAGGAGCAGAGCUGCUUUCUGGCACAAGGCAAUGAAAUUUAUUGGAGCAAGGAAAGCUUUGUUUACAGAAAGUUUCUAGCUCUGCCACAGUCUUACCUUGAGCUUUGAAACAGACUGUUACUUCACCAUUGAAUUCUUAAAGGAGGUCUUUAAUCCAGAGACAACUUUUCAAGGAUACCAGAUGCAAACCAAAUCUGUUUAGAGGAUUUAUCUCGUCUUUCUGUUGCCUUCUGCUACUUGUCAGAUGUGUAUGUUUAAAUAAGGGAUUGUUCUGACAUAACCCAUUGAAUUGGCCUGCUUGAUGCUGUGAAAUUGUAGUUCUGUAGUCAUGGUUGUGUCCUCUAUCUCAGGAAAAGUAGAAGUUGGGUCAGCUAACUUGUCCCCUGUGGGAUUUCCACUAGAAUAUAUGAAGGAUGUUCUUUUUUUGUUUGUUUUGUUUAACUCUGCAAAUAUAGUAGACCACAAGAAUCCAUGGAAAUCAGUGGUCCUUCAGAGAGAAAUCAGAGCAAAACUAUUAUACAUGUGUGUAUAUAUGUUUGCUGGAAAGUUGCACUAAAAUCACUUGUAAUCCACCCCAUUUUGCUGCUUUUUCCAACAACUGAAGACAUUAUUUAACAGCCUGAUGAUCUGUAAGUAAGCCCAUUUUUCUUUGAAGUGUCAUUUUGUGAUUAUUCUGUUAAAUUCAAAUGGCAAACUGAGUAAAAAUGUAGUUCAGAA